AUCAAAUAAGGAACAUCUUAACAGAACCUAGGAACCACGGCAUAAAUAAAGAACGAAAUACAAAACACAAAAACUAAGAAUACUGGCCCAGGACCAUGACAUUUCUUAGAUCCUCAGGUCUUAGCUUAAAAUGAGCUUGCACCUAGUGAUAAUUUGCUUUAUUGAUUAACCUUCACUCGUCUAAAUUCUAUAUAAAACCUAUAGUAAGUCAGAACCUUGCCACAGGUUUUAAGCCAGAUCAUUAUAUUUCAGUAAAAAAAAAUCAUACAUUUUAUCACACAUCUCAGCGAGCUGCGAUUAACCACCGCCUAGUUGCCUAAAAAAUCAAUUGUAGAUUGCUGAUUGUUUUUCUGUCAAUCAAUAGACUGAUUAUUCGUGUAGGAAAAAAUUAGUAUUUGAACGGCAAUUCGCCAACUGUGUGCAAACAACAGUCCAAGUGAUUUGGCACUUGGACACAGGCAGUGGUUCGUUGGGCUUGUUUCUGGGAUAUCUGACACGUUCUCGCUCUGAUCAGUGUCUGGAGUCCAUGACAGAUUAAACACCUUGGUGUUUUGAUCCACUUCUAUCCAACAAAGAUUGCAGACGGUUGCGACCGGAUGGUGGGUCAGUCUGAAGCAACGUUUAGACGUUAACAUCAAGUAACGUCUACGUGAAUGCCAGGAUGCAGGGUUGCGCAGCAGAACGUAGAUGAUAAAUGUUUUGCACUUGGUCCACCAGUGGUUUUAACUGGGGAUUAAACUGGAAUCUGUGUAUUUGGUUCAGUUGUGCACCCUUAAGCACCAUCGAGUGUAUCCCAGUGAUGCAGUCCUUUCAAUCAGCCCUUGAAAUAUCACAAAAACAGCUUCAUACAUAAGUUCCUUAUUAUUUUUAGUUUUAUUAACGCAUGUGAGCUUUUGUCUGUGAUGGAGAGCUACAUCUUACAUGGUGGUUUGUUAUUUGUUGGCAACGUAGACGUGUUAGUUCUUGGCAGUAAAAGGACCGCGAAAGCUGCUUCUCUAAGCUGCUGAUGUAUCACAGAUAUGUGGUUCUUGCAAUAAUCCUCAUUUUUUGUGUAUUUUUGCUUUCUUUUUCACUUUUACAAAAAUGUACUUGCCCUUUAUGCCUAAACACGCUGCCUGCAACAACUUUCACUUGAGGACAGCAAAGGGAUAAUAAUGAAUAAAAGAAAAUGGAAUGGUUAACUAAACCUGCUCAUCAUAUAAAAUCACAAUAUUUCAGGUUAUAACAGCUGGCAGAGCAAAGUAUGUUUAAAACAGAAAAGAAUAGCAGGGGUUUUAUUUAUUUAUUUCUCCCUCAUCCUCCUCCAGAUCUAAUACAGUAUAUCAGGUGAGCGAGGUGAAGACAUCAAGUCCUUUGCAUCUCCACGUCAUGCAGUGUGACUAAGCCUCGCCCUCUUUAAGACCUCAAGGAUCUGAUUAAAAUCCCUCAGUUUUACUUGCGUGACUAAAGCUAAAGAUGCUGUAACCUCUGACUCACUCUGACUUCAGCAGCUGAGAACUGUCUCAAAAAUACAUGAAAUUAUUGUUAUUUUCUACAUUUUUUUAAACAUAUAAUUAAGAUGAAGUCAUAGUAGGAUCCUUAACUUGACUUAAUUUGACACACAUUUCUUAAAACUCGCACCAACUCCUCUUGGCAAUGAAAAAAACAUUUUUUUCCUCUUAAUCCUUUCAGCACAAAAAUGCAUAUUUCACAGGUCUGCAAAGGAGUGGUCUCAUCCCCACAGCCCCUGCCUCAUGUGCUGCUAUUAAUUGCUCAUUAAACACCACAACAUGCUGGCAGUGGCCCAGCGGGGACAUGAAUGUAACCGCAUGGAUAACAAAGAAAAUACAAAUAUAAUAAUCAGUGGACCUCGACCAAAUGCAAUGUAGUAACAUUGCGGCAGUGGCGGCAGUGAAGUAACAAAUAAACCUGUUACGACUCCAGCUCACUGGGGUAAGGGGGAGGAGCAUUAAUUAACCAGAUGGAAGAGGUUAAAUGGGAGUUAAUUUAUUUAUUUUAUAGAUUUUUCCACUGGCAACGAAAUUUUAGAAGCAAAGCAAUCACAAGACAAAGAAGAAGAAAAGCAGAAGUGUGUCGCAGUUAUUGUUUGUGGAGUUUUAGUUGAGGACCAGCUAUUCAGGGCAAAUAUAUGUGCUCACAAAUAGGUCUAAAACGUAACAAAAGUACAACCAAAACACAUUAAAGUGGUAGAAUCCAAAAAGGUAGAGGGGUAACAAAGGAAAGACAGCAUAUAUAAGCAUACACUGAAGGCUGAUGGGAACAUAAUUACUGGAAGAGAGAACAACCAGAGAGUUGGAGAAGACACGGGAAGUAAAACUAGUGCAGGAAAUACUAAACACAGACACAAGAUUAACACUCGUCAUAAAGACAGAAACGAGGGAAGAAUUGAGGAAAAAGGAAUGAACAGGAAGACAAACUAAGAAAUCAAAGUUUACACUAGAACAAUCAUAAAAUGUCUCCAAAAGUGAACCAGAAAUUCAUUCUUCCACUUUGAGCAGAGACACCCAGACCCCCCUUUGCUCAGCCACAUGCACCAACUCUUCUGGGGGACACCAAGAUGUUCCCAAGCCAGCGAAGGGAGUGUCUAGGGUCUGCUACCAGUGGAACAUCCCUAGGUGUUUUGGGUGCCUCCUUUCAAUGUGGAGGAGUAGAAUCUGUACUCUGAAACGUUCCUGAUCUCCUCACCAUUUGUCCCUAAGAGAGACACCCUUCAGAUCCUAAUUUUUCCAGUCACUACCCAGAGGUCAGGUCGUGACCAAACAAGUAUCCAAAAAUAUAAGAACCAAAACUUCAAACAAUACAAUAAAUAAAUACGCGAGUUUACCUGAUGUCCCUGGCCAAUGAUCGUACACUCAUUGCCGCCUACCUAAAAAGAAAAAAGACAAGAGGCAGUAGCACCUCUCAGCCUAGUGCCAGGGAUGUGUAUGAAUGAGAAAUGCCUCAGCUAAGAAGAGGCAACACCCAAUAUCAAGUCACCUUGAACUUCGCAGUGUGCAAACAGGAGGUAUGAGUCCUUUUAACAGUUUUCAUGGUGCUGUGGAUGGAGCCGGGGGCUGGAGAACCGGAUUAAUCAAAGGUGGCAGUAGGCGGGAUGCAGGAGGAGCAGUCAGGUGAAGAAGAGCAAAGAAGCAGAUGCGGGGGCUUGCACACACCAUCCAGCAUACUGAUCGCUUAAAUUACUCAAGCAGGGAGGAGAGGAGCGACUCAGGGCUGUAGCAGAGCGGCAUCCAGCUACAGAUUGUGCCAUGACCUUCCUGUUCAUCCUGAAAGUGGAAGGGAAAAGGAUUUUUCUUUUGUUGCCUGCUACUGCAACACUUUUCCUGCUCUGAGCACUGACAGGUCAGGUCAGUAUCUCAGUCCCAGUACAGCCAAGUGUCACUUGGGAAUCUUCACCUUUGACGGUUCGUGGAAAUAUUGGCUAUUCCCAGUGCUGCUAAGUGGAAGUUAAUUGUGCAAUCUGACUUUCCGCGGUCAAUAAGCUGCGCCUAGUUAGGUUUAAUUAAGAUUUGCUUGGCAAUUCUUCACUCAGACAAUCUAAAAAUAAAGUCCAGGUCUGGUUGAUUAAUGUUUGCUUAAACACACUAUAUAUUGUUUAUAAUAUAUUACAAAAAAAUGUGAAAAACAGAUGCUUGUUAAAUUGACAGAUUGUAUUGACUUAUGCUUUCCUUCCUCUCCCCUCACAUAAAUACGAGCCUGUGACAUGCAGGCUUUUAUCUCCUUGUAAAGGAGGCUAAAUGGAGCAAAAGACCAGACAGCGUUACAGGAGCAAUAAAGUAAAAGCUGGAGUCUGUCAUAACGGCUAAGAGACAUUUUGAACUCAUCACGGUGCUCAUCGCGGUCCGUCGUCUCUCGCCCUUUAGCCGUCUGCUGAUUAAGUAGAUUGCUGUCCAGGAAAUGUUUAAGAAUGAAUCACCACUAAGGGAGAUCAGUCUUCAACAUAAAGCGCUGUGGUGUGUUAUGAGUGAGCCGUAAAAGGCCUCUGUUGAGCAUAAUGGCCCAGAUCAGAUAUAUGAUUGAAGUCUGUUUUAUGGAAGCUCAUUUAAAACAGUUAGAAAAGUCUGAUAAAUGUGAAGAUCUCGGUGCCUCGUUUACAAUAAAGGUCAUUUUUAAGUUGUUGCUGUUGCUGAUCUUAUGCAAUUCUUUGCAGUAGCACUUAGAUGAAGCAGCUUCAUCCUGCAGCAUAAUGUGUGUGGGCGUGUCAGAAUACUCUGUGCAUAUGGAGACACGCAGAGAUAGAAGAAGUUAUGUUAGGAGUUUCACAGCCCACCUUUGUGCUUUUGCCCUUGUUGGGAAGACACGGUUAUUUUAAGGGAGUAAUGAAAAGGUCCAGUAAAUAAGAAGCUGCGAGAAACUGCCGGAUAUUUCUCUGAGUUGUGUGCUGUGUGUGUAUACUUAUUAUAUCUCACUGCAUUUUACAGAACGGGAUCGAUUGGUAGGCAGCAGUGAAGUUAUAGCAUGUACAUAAAAUGGUGAUUUAAAGAAAAUUAUGUGAAGCCUUCUAAAAAACGAGCUAAUGUUGUGGUUACGGUCAACACGAUCGUCAGUGAUUGUAGGAUUUAGCUAGGUAAGCUACGUAAAAGCCUUCAGGAACAGGUAUAGACAAAGUAAAAACCGGAAGUGAAGUGAUUGCGGAAGUUUUUCCACAGUUUUCUGCAGAAUGUUUUUGCAACUGCUGCAGCAAACUGCUUCCGUGUCAUCUGGGAAUCCCUUUGCUCCUGCAUUGAUGUAACUCAAAGAUGACUGGCUGGUGCUUUUAGCCUGACUGUGUAACAAAACGGUGUGGAUGUAAAUAGUCGUCAUUAUGUUAUUAUAGGAAGAGUCAUUUUUAUUGUGCCUUUCUGGUCUGACCAUUCAAGGCUCUUAACACCGAGAGUCACUUUCACUGAUUCACACACAGAUUCAUACUUUACUUAUUCUGUGCACUUUAAGAGCUUUACCUGGAAACCGUUUCCAGGUAACCCAGCAAUGAUGAUCUUGGACUGAGCACAGAAAGAAACCAGCAGACCAGCAGAUAAAAACCAACCACUGUGCUGCAGCACAUAGGUGUGCUGUGAGAAAUGAUCAGGUGUGCUGUGGAAGACUACCUGGUUCCACCUGAUUAAUACUCUUCCAUCCAAGUACUAACCAAGCCCAACCCUGCUUAGUUUCUGAGAUCAGUCGAGAUUGGGUGUGCUCAGGGUCGUAUGGCUGUAAGCUGAUUAGUGCUCUAAGUGACCUGCCUGAGUAACGGACAUAACAAAUACAUUUUCUUCCACUAGAGGGCAUUACAACUCCUUGCUCUAACUAACUGGGUUACCAACUGCUGGUAAAACACAAGAAGAUGAAGAAGAAAUUACAUAUUAGUCAUAGGAAUGAAUAAAUAUUUGAAAAGAAAAAGUAGUCAGUCAGACCUGGGUCCAAGAGAAAAUUCCCACCCAGAUGAAGGCCCUAGCAUGAGUAGUGGUCAGAAGGAAGCAAAAAAGGUAUACUGGGGACAAACCGAGCCAAUUUUGCUACGCCUGGUGUGCGGGGAAAAAUAAUCAAUAUGCUUUUUGUGACGUUUUUGCUUGGUGGUGUGCCCUGUAAUUUUUCUAAUGUGAAAUAGUGGCUCCAAAAGGUUUGGAAUCACUGCGCUAGAGCAAGGGUGUCAAACAUAUGGCCCUGGGACCAGAAUUAGCUCACCAAAGACUCCAGUCUGACACUGGAUGGCUUUGGAGAAUGUAAAGGAAGGUAUAGAUUUUGGACUUUUAACUAAGCUUUACAGCUUUUCCUACUUACAAAGAAUUUCCCCAAGAAUGUUCAUACUAGAAACCAAGGUUACAAAGUAAUAGAUAAACAUUUAAAUAGCAGAAAAAAUCCUGGUUAUUUAGAAUUUUAUGGUGAGUCAAUAGUUAAAUAAAAAGAUAAGAAAAGUUAACAAAAACUUUCUGUUGUAAUCUCAGAGCAGUCUUGACAAUGAGGCACCAGAACUUUUUCUUUAAUUUUGCACAUUUGUUGACUCCCAAAGAGUCAUGCUGCUUGUGGCAUUCAUGUGCCACAUAAACAUUGCUGCACAUGAAACAGUAGCAAUUGCACUCAGUGGCCACCACAGGAUUUUGCUCUGUGCUCUACCUCGGAAAUUGAUUGAAAAACAGGACAAAGAGCCAAAAUUUGAUCCGCCUUUCAAACAUCACUGAAUCCCAAUCGAAGCUAGAAUCUCCAAGAUGUGCACACCAGCAAACGAAAAGAUCCCCUGCUAAGGUCUUGGUACCAGACACCACGUGAAUCCUUACAAAGUAUAGAGCAGUACGUAUAAGGUGGUGUACAUGAAUACGUUUAAAUGUUUGUUUUUGAGUUUGACUGAAACCAAGUACAGCAGUUAGUCGUCUGAAGCGGUCUCUUGUUGAACAGCAAACCUCUCGCCUCCUAUUAAAAUAUGCACAACCCACACAGCUGCAAUAGCUACAUUUACAGGAAUAACACCAGAUUGAAAUAACCUGGAAUUAUUUCUCAAGGCAUUUUGUUAAUAGCAGUGAAAUCAACAUUUUUGCAUGAGAAAUAACAAAAGUGUGUUUUCAAUGCAAUUCCUUCUCUGUUUGGUAGAGGUCCUAACCUCCAGCAGGAGUACACUUACUGGAUGAUGAGCAGCAAAUCAGAAAAAGGACUCCAAUCGAGUGAUUUGAUUGUAAUCCUUGAACACAUCCUUAGAAAUUUCCCUUGAAGCAAAAUCUAAUGUAAGAUGAAUAUCACAUUUGUGUGAGAAGUUGGCCUUUAGAUAAUAAAAAAGUGAAAUGAUGCAGAGCUCAUUUCAAAGAUCCAGCCUGAUUAUUCAGUGCAUGUAAAGUAUUAAAGCAAACUGACCCAGUAAUAAAUGGUCCAGUCAAAUCUCUGCUUAGUCUUUGUUGCCAUUCAGAUCCUUUGUUAUUGUGGGUUUUUUUGUACUUUGAUUUAAUUUGGCUUUGUAUGUUUUUAACAAGUUUGCUUACCAAA
Long non-coding RNA from Haplochromis burtoni (Burton's mouthbrooder), 6948 nucleotides. RefSeq lists it as uncharacterized. The record is from RefSeq and is a predicted model, not a curated record. The transcript has 2 exons. NCBI's taxonomy places the organism in Eukaryota, Metazoa, Chordata, Actinopteri, Cichliformes, Cichlidae.